AUGUACCACCCGUACACUCCGGCUCUGAGCGCGCCGCCCGCACCCACCUGGCGACCGCUCGCGAGGUUGUGUAAGCC
RNAcentral lists this small RNA (77 nucleotides) under Xanthomonas nasturtii. RNAcentral describes it as "sX9 sRNA". It matches the Rfam family "Xanthomonas sRNA sX9". The record is from RNAcentral. Lineage: Bacteria; Pseudomonadati; Pseudomonadota; Gammaproteobacteria; Lysobacterales; Lysobacteraceae.